GACGAACGCUGGCGGCGUGCUUAACACAUGCAAGUCGAGCGGUAAGGCCCUUUCGGGGGUACACGAGCGGCGAACGGGUGAGUAACACGUGGGUGACCUGCCCUCAGCUCUGGGAUAAGCCUGGGAAACCGGGUCUAAUACUGGAUAUGACUCCAUGACGCAUGUUGUGGGGUGGAAGGCCUUGUGCGGCUGAGGAUGGGCCCGCGGCCUAUCAGCUUGUUGGUGGGGUGAUGGCCUACCAAGGCGACGACGGGUAGCCGGCCUGAGAGGGCGACCGGCCACACU
Molecule: ribosomal RNA, 285 nt
Filed under: uncultured bacterium
Lineage: Bacteria
Description: partial 16S ribosomal RNA
Rfam family: Bacterial small subunit ribosomal RNA
Source: RNAcentral